GCCUGGGUGGCUGAGUCGGUUAAGCGUCUGCCUUCGGCUCAGGGCAUGAUCCCGGGGUUGCGGGUUCGAGCCCCACAUCAGGCU
Molecule: non-coding RNA, 84 nt
Organism: Ailuropoda melanoleuca (giant panda)
Lineage: Eukaryota; Metazoa; Chordata; Mammalia; Carnivora; Ursidae
Source: Rfam